This 450-nucleotide ribosomal RNA is filed under the name uncultured Glomeromycotina. RNAcentral's name for it is "SSU rRNA". It matches the Rfam family "Eukaryotic small subunit ribosomal RNA", at positions 569 to 1023 of the family's 1831-position model. Lineage: Eukaryota; Fungi; Glomeromycota. The record is from RNAcentral.
AGCAGCCGCGGUAAUUCCAGCUCCAAUAGCGUAUAUUAAAGUUGUUGCAGUUAAAAAGCUCGUAGUUGAAUUUCGGGAUCAAUAUGUCGGUCGUGCCUUCGGUACGUACUGGCAUCAUUGGUUUCUCCCUUCUGACAAGCCAUGAUGUCAUUAAUUUGGUGUUAUGGGGAGUUAGGACUGUUACUUUGAAAAAAUUAGAGUGUUUAAAGCAGGCAUUAGCUUGAAUACAUUAGCAUGGAAUAAUGAAAUAGGACGUUUGACCCUAUUUUGUUGGUUUCUAGGAUCGACGUAAUGAUUAAUAGGGAUAGUUGGGGGCAUUAGUAUUCAAUUGUCAGAGGUGAAAUUCUUGGAUUUAUUGAAGACUAACUACUGCGAAAGCAUUUGCCAAGGAUGUUUUCAUUAAUCAAGAACGAAAGUUAGGGGAUCGAAGACGAUCAGAUACCGUCGUAG